This 3373-nucleotide long non-coding RNA is filed under the name Lactuca sativa (garden lettuce). RNAcentral's name for it is "long non-coding RNA (LSAT_LNC005863)". The record is from RNAcentral. Lineage: Eukaryota; Viridiplantae; Streptophyta; Magnoliopsida; Asterales; Asteraceae.
UUCAAAUGAGAACAUUUCUUAUAUUGAGAAUAAUUGAGAACAAUUUUUAGGCUAUCUUUCGGUACACAUCUUUCUUAUAUUUCUCUCCCUACAUAUCUCUAUCAUCUUUGUCUCUCUACAUAUCUCUAUCAUCUUUCUCUCUCUCUCUCUCUCUCUCUCCAUAUCUCUCAAGUAAUCUGAACCACCGUCACCAUUAACGGACCUCCAUCAGAAUGACCAUAAUGACGUCGGAAUCACGGUAAUGACGCCGGAACCACCCCAAUUUUGUCGGAAUCAUCGAGCUACUUCUUCACUCUCUGGAUCUAUUUGGUUUCCCGAUGUCAUUUCCAUAUCUCCAAAUCUGCUUAAUGUCUUCUCCUUCCUUCAGAAUUGACCUUCUCUACCUCUUCACUUAUCGUCAUCUCCCUCGCCUCCCACCAUCAAAAAUCAGACCGACGUCGCUUAACUCUCUUUAGAUUUGUUUUUUCGUCAUCUAUUGUUAGUCGGAGCGUUGCUCGAGAACCUUAUCCCUAACUGCAACUUCGAGAUCGAAAUCAUAGCCUGUGAUAUGAGUCUCCAACUUCGUCGGAGAAAAAAGACUCGCCGGAGGAGGGAGACACCGGAGAGGAACAAGGCAUCGGAAGACUUAGCUGUUGACCUUCGGAUAAUAGCAAAUCAUCGGUCGCGUUUGUUUAAAUUUCUACAAUCAGGUCCCUUCCUAAACUUCUUUUUUUGGCGGUUAAAUCAUAAUUUAAGUUGAGACAAUUAGGUCACACUUAUAAUUGAGAAGCGAGAAUAUGAGUUUAGUUCUAGUGGGCUGCUUUUGAAGAAAUAAAUAUUUAAAAGGUGUAUCAAAUAUAUUAUGGGCUUACAAAAUCCAUCUUUGUAUAUCAUUAUUCCUAUAUCAUUAAAAAAUAAAGACAAACCGUUUAAAUAAAAUAUAAUAUUACUCAAAUUUUAAUAUUCUACUACUGUAGAUAGAAUUUAUAAUUUAAAUAUAUGGGUCACUACUUUAAAUAAUUGGUAAUGCACCAUUUUGACUGAUUAAGAAAUAAAUAAAUUGUAUAAAAGAAGCAAAACUAAUAAAUAAACAUACAAGACGUAUCCCAUAAAUUCCAAAUACAUAAAAUUAUUUAAUCAUAUGAAUCAUAUAUUAAUUAAAAACGUGAUUAAUUUGUUAUUAAAAUGUAUUUGAGGAUUGCUUCUACAAAAAUUUGCUAGCUAGUCACAACAACUGCUUUUAACUAUUUCUCCUAGACUUCUAACGUACUGUCAUUUUCUCUCUUUCUAAUGUGUUGUCAACAACAUGUUGAGUCUUAACUAUUAUCAUUUUUUGUUUGUUUUAAUUAGAGUUACAAUAAAAACCUAUAUCAUUGAUAUGUAAUAUUUUAUUUUACCGUAACGUAAUCUUUGUUUUCAUAUUUAUAUUAGUAUAAUUGUUGUUUUUUUGUUAUGAUAUGAACUUAUAUAAAGUAGAUAGGUAUAAGUUUACUAUUUAAACAUCAAUCAUGAGAGAAACUAUUUAUUGAUAUUCAUAUUUUUAUAGUGAAUUAUUAAUGAAAUCAUUUGUUAAACUUGUUUAAAUUUUUGAAAAUAAAUAAGUCAAAUAAAAUUAUAUACAUUACAGAGGAUAUUAGUUCAUAUGAUUUUUUUUAUAUAAAUGGAAAACAAUGUUUCUACAACAUUUUGUAUCUAUAAAAGAGAUAGCAUAUAAUUUUUUUUUAAAAAUACAUAUAAUCAUAUGUAAUUAAUACAUAUAAUCACAUGUGAUUAAAUACAUGAGACACGUAUUGAAUCGAAAACGGGAAUACAAAUUAAUAUUUGUUAUCGUGUAUUUAAUCACAUAUGAUUAGAUUAUAUGUAUCUAAUCACAUAUGAUUUAGAUGAACAAUAUUCAUUUUGCGUUUUUGAUUCGAUAUUUGUUCUCGUGUAUUUAAUCACAUGUGAUUAUAUGUAUCAAAUUACAUAUGAUUUAUAUGUGCAAGAUUUGUUUUUGCGUUCUUGAUUCAAAAGUUGUUCUUUGUCCAUAUUAAUCAUAUGUGAUUAAAUACAUAUAAUCACACGUGAUUAAAUACAUGAGAAAAUAAUUGAAUCGAAAAAUAGAAAACAAAUAUUACAUAAAUAAUAUGUGAUUCGAUACAUAUAAUCACAAGUGAUUAUAUGUAUUUAAUCACAUAAAUAAUAUGUGAUUCAAUACAUAUAAUCACUUGUGAUUAUAUGUAUCGAAUCACAUAUGAUUAACGUUGACGAAGAACAAUUACUGAAUCGAGAACGCUAUAAUGAAUCUUGUCUACAUAAAUCAUAUGUGAUUCAAUAAUUGUUCUCGUGUAUUUAAAUAUAUAUUAUCACAUAACAAUUACUGAAUCGAGAAUGCGAUAAUGAAUCUUGUCCACAUAAAUCACAUGUGAUUCAAUAGUUGUUCUCGUGUAUUUAAAUAUAUAUAAUCACAUAAAUCAUAUGUGAUUAAAUACAUAUAAUCACAUGUGAUUAUAUGUAUCUAAUCACAUAUGAUUUAUAUGGACAAAAAGAAUUUUGUCCAUAUAAAUCAUAUGUGAUUAGAUACAUAUAAUCAUAUGUGAUUAUAUAGAAGUGAACAACCAUUGAAUCAAAAACGCACAAACAAAUCUUUGUUCACAUUAAUCAUACGUUAUUAAAUACAUAUAUUCGGAUAUGAUUAAAUACAUGAUAAAAAUUAUUGAAUGAAAAACAUAAAAACAAAUAUUUUUUUAUAUAAAUCAUAUGUGAUUAGAUACAUAUAAUGACAUGUGAUUAUAUGGAUUUAAUCACAUGUGAUUUAUGUGAUUAAAUACAUAUAAUUACAUAUGCUUUAUGCCAUUAUAUGCAUUUAAGCACAUAAGGUGUUGGUGGUUGUAGGUAGUGGGUGACAGUCUUGUGGUGGUGCCUGGCGGGUUGUCAUUAUGGUGGAGGUGGGGGUGGUAGGUAGUAGUAAUGGGUGGUGGUGGUUGAUGGUGAAUGAUGGGGGUUGUGGGUAAUAAUUGGUUUGUAGUGAUGGGUGGUGGUUGUGAUGGUAAUAGGUAGUGGGUGGUGGUGGUGAAGGAUGGUGUGUAGGGGUGGGAGUGGUGGCUAUGAUGGGUUGUUGGUGGUGGUAUUGAUGGGUAAGUGAUGGCGGGUGGUGGUGGCAUGUGGUGAUGUCUGGUGUUGGUGGUGGUGGUUGUGGAAGGCGGUGAGUAGUGAUGGUUGUAGGUGGUGAUAAUGUAGGUGGUAAAGAUAGUGUUGGUGGGUGGUGAUAAUGGUGACGGGUGGUGGUGAUGGAUGAUGAUGGUUAGUGGUUAGUGGUGGUGGUGGUGGCGAGUGGUGGUUUAUGUUGGUUUUUAUGGUGAUGGGUGGUGGAGGUGGGUGGUAGGUUGGUGGUGGUGAAAGGUAGUGAUGGUGG